RNAcentral lists this small RNA (553 nucleotides) under Pan troglodytes (chimpanzee). Its description in RNAcentral is "processed transcript". Lineage: Eukaryota; Metazoa; Chordata; Mammalia; Primates; Hominidae. The record is from RNAcentral.
CUUCAGCAACUCUAAGCAGCCUCCCCCAGGAAAAACUGAUCCUGCUACAGCUCCACCAUGAAGUUCUUCUUGGUCCUGCUGCCGGCCAGCCUAGCCUCCACCUCUCUCGCCAUCCUUGAUGUUGAAUCUGGCCUCCUUCCACAACUCUCGGUCCCCUAAGGGUUAUUGAGCUGUCAGCUGGAGAGACCUCAGCACUAGAAAGGACCUUCCUUAAUCCUCGUAAUAUGCUGUGUGGAGAGGUGGAAAGCUGCAGAACCAAAAGUUCACACCUGGGAUGACCUAGAGCCAGAAGGUGAAAUUCACUCGGAGACUCAGCUUGCAGAUGGCUUACUCCUCAGCAACCGCCUCAGAGGGAAAACUUGCCAAACUGGCCCAUAAAAUCGGGAAGAAUCUGGACAAAGCAUUGAAAGGAAUCAUAAACUAUCUGAAAAACCUAAUCCCUAGCGCCAAUGAUGUCAUGAGGCCCUAAUGAUGAGGGUGCCUGAAUUCCAGGCUAGGCCAUGGGAGACGCCACAUCCCAAAACCAUCUUUCGGCUCCUCAAAUUCAUGUAUU